CAAUCACUUGAAAAUAACAUGGCCCAAGCACUGGGGGGCGCCACCUCUUCCCGCCACUUUGCCCGGAGACGGGAUGGGGUGCAGAGAAGGAGCGCCUAGGAUUUCCUGGAUGUUGAGGGCCCCCCUGGAGCCCUCAUCACUCCCAGAGCCGCCUCAGAGCCCCGCCCUGCCGGUCCUCUGACCGCCCCAGCAACAAGGCUGUGACUUCCAUUAAUCCUUCCUUUGUCUCCUGGAGCCAACGCGUGUUGCAAUCCUGAAAAGCGGCCCCAGGUUUCUGGCCUGUGCCCGAGGAGGCCUCCAGUGCUGCCCUCGGUCACCAUGGGGACGGGCUGAGGACAGCCUGGAUGAGCAGCCCGCAGGACCGCAGCCUCUGCCCCUCCAGCUGUGUGCUUAGCUUCCCGGAAAGCUGUCAGCCUUCCUCUUACAGGCUGCCUGUUCGAGGAUGGCCUUUGCGG
RNAcentral lists this long non-coding RNA (455 nucleotides) under Oryctolagus cuniculus (rabbit). RNAcentral's name for it is "lncRNA (ENSOCUG00000030344.1)". Lineage: Eukaryota; Metazoa; Chordata; Mammalia; Lagomorpha; Leporidae. The record is from RNAcentral.